AUGAGCAUCAUCAUAUGGCUGCUCUUUCGGCGGCGGAAGAACACACAAGUGGUGAAAGAAGUUGUGGCUGAUUGGAAAAUGACACCAUUCACACCUCUGGACAUCACAAAAUCCGACGUGCUCAACAACAUAUCUGAGGAGAACAUUAUUGUCAGCGGUGGGUCUGAAAAGAAUAGUGGCUGCCAAGAAGAUAUGCAACACGGGAAAUCCGGACCACAAACUGUUCAACUCGGAGGUGAAGAGAUUCGGGAGCAUCAAUCACAACAUCAUCAAGCUGCUCUGCAGCAUCUCCGGCUAAGAUGCCAAGCUGCUUGUUUACGAGCACUUGGAGAAGGGCAGCCUCGACGACUGGCUGCACCACCGUUACCACGAGGGCGCCCCUGCACCAUUGUACUAGCGGAGGAGGCUGACCAUCGCUUUGAUGCAACGAGGGGCCUCAACCACAUCCACCAAGAGUGUGGACAGGAUAUUAUACAAAGGGACAUCAAGUCAGACAACAUUUUGCUUGAACCAGAGUUCCACGCCAAGAUCGCCAACUUUGGGCUUACUCUCGAAAGGGUGUCAACCCAGGCCAGUCCCACCACAUGUCAGCCAUUUGUGGUACACACGGAAUACUUUCAGUACAAUGGAAAGGCGAGCGAGAAGACUGACAUCUAUAGUUUUGGUGUCGUUCUGCUAGAGGUGACAACCGGCAUGGUUGUCAAGGGCAUUGGAGGUGGAGAAAGCUUGGGUGAAUGGGCAUGGAAGGUGUAUCCUACAGGAGUCCUCAGGCGCAUCUGCGCAGAGCACGAAGCACGUCUUUACCCAGCUCAUGCUCAUCCAGUGUGA
RNAcentral lists this ribosomal RNA (828 nucleotides) under Triticum aestivum (bread wheat). Its description in RNAcentral is "partial small subunit ribosomal RNA". Lineage: Eukaryota; Viridiplantae; Streptophyta; Magnoliopsida; Poales; Poaceae. The record is from RNAcentral.